GACGAAGGAUGCAAGCGUUAUCCGGAUUUACUGGGCGUAAAGGGCGCGUAGGCGGCCACCGCAAGUCGGUUGUGAAAUCUCCGGGCUUAACCCGGAAAGGUCAACCGAUACUGCGGGGCUAGAGUGCAGAAGGGGCAACUGGAAUUCUCGGUGUAGCGGUGAAAUGCGUAGAUAUCGAGAGGAACACCUGCGGCGAAGGCGGGUUGCUGGGCUGACACUGACGCUGAUGUGCGAAAGCUAGGGGAGCGAACGGG
RNAcentral lists this ribosomal RNA (254 nucleotides) under uncultured prokaryote. RNAcentral's name for it is "partial 16S ribosomal RNA". It matches the Rfam family "Bacterial small subunit ribosomal RNA", at positions 524 to 776 of the family's 1533-position model. The record is from RNAcentral.